GAUGAACGCUGGCGGCGUGCUUAACACAUGCAAGUCGAACGAGAAAUGGAGACGGAAACCUUCGGGCGGAAGGCUUCAUUUCGAGUGGCGGACGGGUGAGUAACGCGUGGGUAACCUGCCUCAUACAGGGGGAUAACAGUUGGAAACGACUGUUAAUACCGCAUAAGACCACAGCACCGCAUGGUGCGGGGGUAAAAACUCCGGUGGUAUGAGAUGGACCCGCGUUCGAUUAGCCAGUUGGCGGGGUAACGGCCCACCAAAGCGACGAUCGAUAGCCGAUCUGAGAGGAUGCCCGGCCACAUUGGGACUGAGACACGGCCCACACUCCUACGGGAGGCAGCAGUGGGGAAUAUUGCACAAUGGGGGAAACCCUGAUGCAGCGACGCCGCGUGAGUGAAGAAGUACUUCGGUAUGUAAAGCUCUAUCAGCAGGGAAGAAAAUGACGGUACCUGAGUAAGAAGCCCCGGCUAACUACGUG
Molecule: ribosomal RNA, 478 nt
Filed under: uncultured bacterium
Lineage: Bacteria
Description: partial 16S ribosomal RNA
Rfam family: Bacterial small subunit ribosomal RNA
Source: RNAcentral